AGACCCCUGGGCUAACAGCCCAAGGGAUGCACCUCAAUGGUCCCAACUGGUGCCCAUAUCAGCACGCCUGGACCAGCUCAGAACAACGACCCCCACCAAUGUCUCUAUCUCAGGAGAGGAUCCUCCUCUCAUCAAGAUGCCCCCAGAGCCCACCAGGCAAGAAUUGAUUUCAGCCCAAUUACUUUUAUCUUAAAACAAGCUUUAUCAAGACCACUGACAGGUGCAUUCCCUGUGGAGGUGAGAGAUCCAGAGUUCCAACUUACUCCCCAAAUACUAAAGGCUGGUCUACAUUGGUAAUAACCAAAAACUGUAAG
RNAcentral lists this long non-coding RNA (314 nucleotides) under Equus caballus (horse). RNAcentral's name for it is "lncRNA (ENSECAG00000044846.1)". Lineage: Eukaryota; Metazoa; Chordata; Mammalia; Perissodactyla; Equidae. The record is from RNAcentral.